CGCUCCACAGGCCAUCGAUCGACCCCAGACCACUUCCUAUAGGUUCGCCUCGACCUUGCGCAGCUGCAGGUGGCAGCCUUGAACCGCAACACGGCCACCAGCGGCGGCGGGAAGCUCCGCCCGGUUUGAGCUCGUUUUGGUUCCAAGAUUGAUAUCUCAAGCUACCGGUCACCAAUCCUCACCAAACUUCAUCCUCGAGAUCACCUCAACCUCCUGAAACUCCCAGAAGUGUCCUUGCACGGCGGAGCUGCCUCUAACGGCGGCGGCAAUCUUGUUUCGAUUUGAGUUCGAUUUUAGUCAACGCCUGUUUUCUCCUAGCUCCGGCCACCAAAACUUCCGAUCCUUAGCUCUAUGAACUCGCCUCAACCUGCUGAUCAUCAUACCGGAAGGAUCGCAUCUGAAGUGACCGGUUUCACGUUCGUCGGAGCUCGACCGGUUUUCGAUCCGAAACCAAAACCUUUCGAUCGUGAUAUCUCG
RNAcentral lists this long non-coding RNA (477 nucleotides) under Rosa chinensis. Its description in RNAcentral is "sRNA RchiOBHm_Chr2g0131081". Lineage: Eukaryota; Viridiplantae; Streptophyta; Magnoliopsida; Rosales; Rosaceae. The record is from RNAcentral.